GAUGAACGCUGGCGGCGUGCCUAAUACAUGCAAGUCGAGCGAACAGACGAGGAGCUUGCUCCUCUGACGUUAGCGGCGGACGGGUCAGUAACACGUGGAUAACCUACCUAUAAGACUGGGAUAACUUCGGGAAACCGGAGCUAAUACCGGAUAAUAUAUUGAACCGCAUUGUUCAAUAGUGAAAGACGGUUUUGCUGUCACUUAUAGAUGGAUCCGCGCCGCAUUAGCUAGUUGGUAAGGUAACGGCUUACCAAGGCGACGAUGCGUAGCCGACCUGAGAGGGUGAUCGGCCACACUGGAACUGAGACACGGUCCAGACGCCUACGGGAGGCAGCAGUAGGGAAUCUUCCGCAAUGGGCGAAAGCAUUACGGAGCAGCGCCGCGCGAGUGAUGAAGGUCUUCGGAUCGUAAAACUCUGUUAUUAGGGAAGAACAAAUGUCUAAGUAACUAUGCACGUCUUGACGGUACCUAAUCAGAAAGCCACGGCUAACUACGUG
Molecule: ribosomal RNA, 497 nt
Filed under: uncultured bacterium
Lineage: Bacteria
Description: partial 16S ribosomal RNA
Rfam family: Bacterial small subunit ribosomal RNA
Source: RNAcentral